This 653-nucleotide long non-coding RNA is filed under the name Numida meleagris (helmeted guineafowl). RNAcentral's name for it is "lncRNA (ENSNMEG00000020291.1)". Lineage: Eukaryota; Metazoa; Chordata; Aves; Galliformes; Numididae. The record is from RNAcentral.
GGCUCCCUGUCUGUGACAGAGUAGGCUGAGGUGGCUGCGUAUGGAGCUCUCUACCAGCUGCACUGUGCUGGGUGUGCAGCGAGGGUGUCCCUGACCUCCUGGACUUCAGGCUCUACUCUGGAAUGUCCUGGCAGAAGGUUCUGCAGAGGCUCCAAGCCCGUCCAUGGCCUGCAGGCCGAACCUCCCCUUCUCUCUGCAUGUGGGUGCUUUUUGCAGCCAAUGUGAGACAAGGCUUUUGCUCUCCAUACCAGCUGUGUGAGUGAGCUCCUCCAAAUCCCCCGCUCCAUCCUAUCUGCUGCCCCAGCUGGCUUCAAGGAGACCAGAUCUGCAAGGACCACACAUGCAAGACCCCUGGCUACCAAGGGCAUCCCCAGGGCCAGCACCCUACCAGCAGCUGCGCUCCAGCCUUGGGAACAACCCACUGCCUUAAACAAAUAUGGGCUGCAUGGAGAAAUGAGAACAUCUUUAACCACUCUGGAGGGAUGUAGGCCGUGCUUACAUGACUUGGAUGUUUACUUGAUGAACAGCGAACUGAUGUGGUCUCCUCGCUCCCUUCCAGCCCUUGGGAACCACUUGUGAAAUGAGUAGCAAUUGUUCUCUGCUCAAUUAGUCAUCUGUAAGUGAAUGCCUCGUGGUGGCCAUCCCCUGAGUGG